AGAGCGAACGCUGGCGGCAGGCUUAACACAUGCAAGUCGAGCGCCCCGCAAGGGGAGCGGCAGACGGGAGAGUAACACGUGGGAACGUACCUUUCGGUUCGGAACAACCCAGGGAAACUUGGGCUAAUACCGGAUACGCCCGCAAGGGGAAAGAUUUAUCGCCGGAAGAUCGGCCCGCGUCUGAUUAGCUAGUUGGUGAGGUAACGGCUCACCAAGGCGACGAUCAGUAGCUGGCCUGAGAGGAUGAUCAGCCUCACUGGGACUGAGACACGGCCCAGACUCCUACGGGAGGCAGCAGUGGGGAAUAUUGGACAAUGGGCGCAAGCCUGAUCCAGCCAUGCCGCGUGGGUGAUGAAGGCCCUAGGGUUGUAAAGCCCUUUCGGCGGGGAAGAUAAUGACGGUACCCGCAGAAGAAGCCCCGGCUAACUUCGCGCCAGCAGCCGC
This 444-nucleotide ribosomal RNA is filed under the name uncultured bacterium. Its description in RNAcentral is "SSU rRNA". It matches the Rfam family "Bacterial small subunit ribosomal RNA", at positions 26 to 518 of the family's 1533-position model. The record is from RNAcentral.